ACGGUCGCAAAGAAAUAUACAAUGUACAGCCGCUGCUCUCUCUUCUCUCCUCUUCUCCAAACUCCACUUCUUCUUGUUCUUCCUAUUCUUUCUCUCUUUGUGAUGGCACAUAUGGCGUGAACUUCCGGUGAGAUUGUUUUUCAUAUUCUUCUUGUUCUUUGUUAUCGUUAUGAUAAUUUUUCAUUUUUUUUUUCUAACAUUGAUUUUAUUUAUUUUUUCAUAGAUAAUUUUCUCCUAUUAAUCUUGUGUUGUUUUCUCUCCACUAGAUCUAUGAGGAGCGAAACAAAAAUUGAUUCGUGGACUAACUUCAUAGGUGUGACUGAAUGGAAAUCAUCAGUGAUCGCUUUUUCUAUUCCUUUGAAGUGCUUUUAUCUAUUUUUCUUGUUGACAAUUUUGAACGUAAUCUCUGAUUUAACGACCAUGAUUUCUUUGAUUAUUAGAUAUAGAUAAAAUUGCGAGCAUAAGAUGACCUGAUUUUGUCUUGUAUUUUAAAAAGGUAUAAAAUAAUGAAAUUUAUAUAUUUUCAGCUUCUUUAUUUAUUAGUGUAGUUAAAUUUAAAUUUAUUUCUUUAAUUUAUAUAAGUAACAUAAUUUUUUUUAUUUGAAUUUGCUGCAUGUCAAAACAUGGUCUAGUAAGUGUCUUGAAAUUUUAUAUACAAUUUCCAGUUAUAUUAGUACUAUGUGGUAUGACUUAUAUAAUAUAUGAAUAUUACUUAUAUAGGUGGAGGAGAAGAAAAGAGGAAGGCAAAUUAAAAACGCGGUGAUUAGAUAGAUUUCCGUUUUUUUGAACAGGUAAGUAUGGAUCUAAUCUAAGAGUAAGUUUGGUUAAGAUUAUUAAAAAACACAUUUUUUUAUAUUUUGACUAAGUUCUGUUUGUGUAUAAAUUUUGUAAAAAUAUAUUUUGUCAAAAAAUUUACUUAUAUGUUGAAAAUAAUUUUUUUUCGUUAAUUAGCUUUUGAAGAAAAACAUUUUUAAUAGAAGAGAAGGUAAUACAAAAUCUCUUUCAUAAUUUUAACCAUACACAAUAGUUUAUGUUAUUCUUUUAUUUUUCACAAGUAGAUUAUAGAUUAUGAUAUUCUUUAAAAUAUCUAAAUUAUUUAAUAUUAAAAUCAGUUUUCUUUUUGAUCUACAUUCUUGCCUUUAUUUUCCUUGAUUAUAUUAAAUAAAGUUUCUAAGAAAGUUUCAUGUUAUUGUAAUAUUCGAAACAUAGUUAUUCAUGAAUUAAUUUAGCGUUUAAAAUGUUAUAUAUAAUGUAUAUCACAUUAAGUAGCAAGUUGUUGACUUUCUCAUUAUGCUGUUAGUAUUUGGGGAGCUUCAUAAAGAAUGAAAUUAAUCACCUUUGGCUUUAAAAGAAAUUUUUUGUUGGAGGUUAAUUGUGUAGACUACUCCAUAAACAAUUAUAGAAAACUUUAAUCGUCGUGAAUACCAAAUUUAUUGAAGAUAUAUAUAAAAAAAUGCCAAUUUAUCACGAUUCAUAUUAAAAAAAUUAAAUAAUAAAAAUUUAUAUAUUAUUAUUUGCUAAAUUUUUUGUAGCCAUAUAUCUCAAAACAUCACGUGUUUGAUUAUCAACCCGUAUGUUCAUUUCAAUUGUCCAAUUCUUUGCUCUUUCUCUCACAGAAAAUAUUUGAGUUUCAAGUGGAGUAACAAACACCUUUUUCUCAAGAUUUUAUUUCUUAGAAGGAAUGUUUUAAGAGGUGGUUGUUACUCGACUUGAAGCUCGAAGAUUUUCUGAGAGUGGAAGAGCAUAGAAUUGGACUAUUGAAUUGAGUAAAUUGAUUGAUAAUGGAACACGAGAUGUUUUAAGAUAUGGCUACAAAUUUUUUAGGAAAUAAUAAAAUGAUUUUUUAUUAAUUAGUUUUUACUAUUACUAUGAAUUAUGAUAAAUUAGUAAUUUUUUUAUACAUCUUUAUAAAUUUGGUAUUUCAUGACAACUAAAAUUUUGUAUAAUUGUUUAGGCAGUAUUCUAUACAAUUACCCUCGAACAAAAACUUUCGUUCAAAGAUAGAAGUGAUUAAUUUCGUUCUUUAUGAAGCUCCUUCAAAUACUAACAAUAAGAAGAGAAAGUUGGUUGAACUUUCUACUGAAUUUGAUAUAUAUCAUGUUUAACAUUUCAAACAAUGAAUUAAUUAAAGCUUAAAUAUGAUUUUGGUCCUUGUAAAUAUGACUCAUUUUGAUUUUUGUCCCUUUAAAAAAACAUUUGAUUUAUACCCCUGUAAAAAAACUUGUUCUACCAAAAUAAUGUUGUACUGAAAUCCCUCAAAUUACAGAGAAGAAGAUCUAGAAAAUAGAAUGAUUUCCGAAAGAAAUUAAGAAGCAUGAGACAGAGGUUAGUUGAACUUUAUAGGAUAAAUGUAUGAAACUAGAUGAAGGGGAAAAGGAGGAUGUUGGAACUUUUGAGGACAUAUAUACAGAUGAGCUUGAGUAAAAUGACAAUUGGUUCUGUUUAUCGCUUUAAUAUAUUCAGCGUCUGUCUUGCUGCAUCACAUGCUAUAACAUUUUGUGUAACAUUGUGUUCACUGCGUACCAGAUUUCAAAGGUAUUAAGAUCAUUAAAUCCAAAAUUUGAUUUCAUAGUAGUAGCCUUACAAGAAGCAAAAUAUGUGAAAACUAUGAAGAUCAAAGAAUUGCAAAGUUCAUUAAAGAAUACAUUAACUUAUGGUGGUU
RNAcentral lists this long non-coding RNA (2662 nucleotides) under Trifolium pratense (red clover). Its description in RNAcentral is "long non-coding RNA (TPRA_LNC001992)". Lineage: Eukaryota; Viridiplantae; Streptophyta; Magnoliopsida; Fabales; Fabaceae. The record is from RNAcentral.